UACAGAGGUCUCAAGCGUUGUUCGGAUUCAUUGGGCGUAAAGAGUGCGUAGGCGGCGCGGUAAGUCGGGUGUGAAAUCUUGGAGCUUAACUCCGAAACUGCAUUCGAUACUGCCGUGCUUGAGGACUGGAGAGGAGACUGGAAUUUACGGUGUAGCGGUGAAAUGCGUAGAUAUCGUAAGGAAGACCAGUGGCGAAGGCGGGUCUCUGGACAGUUCCUGACGCUGAGGCACGAAGGCCAGGGGAGCAAACGGG
RNAcentral lists this ribosomal RNA (253 nucleotides) under uncultured bacterium. Its description in RNAcentral is "partial 16S ribosomal RNA". It matches the Rfam family "Bacterial small subunit ribosomal RNA", at positions 524 to 776 of the family's 1533-position model. The record is from RNAcentral.